This 184-nucleotide long non-coding RNA is filed under the name Mustela putorius furo (domestic ferret). Its description in RNAcentral is "lncRNA (ENSMPUG00000031421.1)". Lineage: Eukaryota; Metazoa; Chordata; Mammalia; Carnivora; Mustelidae. The record is from RNAcentral.
UCAACAUUUCAAACACCAGUCACCAGUAGCAGCUGCAAAAUGGAGCCCCUUGCUUAUCUGCUGCAAACAUCUCUCAGGCUUGUGGACCAGAGCAACUUCAAGGAGAAUUUCAAUGGAGAACUUUAGAUGUGUACUGCAAUAGACGGUUUCCUACCUAAGUUGAUGUUUGUCCAAGGCUUUCACA